This is an RNA transcript of Abrus precatorius (Indian licorice), 2388 nucleotides long. It is a transcript of the gene named cysteine synthase, mitochondrial-like, with no coding region annotated. The record is from RefSeq and is a predicted model, not a curated record. Lineage: Eukaryota; Viridiplantae; Streptophyta; Magnoliopsida; Fabales; Fabaceae. The transcript has 8 exons.
UCCCAAUAGACGCUGUGAAUUGUGACCCAUUUUGAGUCUAGAAUCGAAGGACGAACAACAAAAGGGAUAUUUAUUGCGUUUGGGCAGCGUGUUGCGACUUUGGGUUGGUUUUGUCUCAACCAACAAACGCUUUUGUACUUCAUUUCUUAAGGUUGCGUUCUGAGGUUUCCCCAACCAACAAGCAACAACAAUGGCCUCUGCUUCCUUAAUCAACUCGUUGACUUGUUCUUCUCGUGCUCCAACUCAAUACAGUUUGGCCUUCACCACCACCCCUGCCACGUUACUCAGAUUUGCUAACAGCCACUGUGUGAGACCACUCGUGACGAGGAUUUCUUCACCUUCCCACGUUGUCUGCAAAGCAGUCUCUGUGAGGCCCCAAACCGAGAUUGACGGUCUCAACAUUGCUGAAGAUGUUUCCCAGGUCAGUUUCACUGUUUUGUCGCAACCUUUACAAUUCUGAGUGAUUCAAAUGCGCUUGUGAAUGUGUUGCUGGAAAACUCUUCGAUUUUCGCGAUUUCGUUUAUGCCCGAGAAAUCAACGUCGUGGAUAAAUAUUGAAUUGUUCGGUUCUUUUGCUGCUGACGUGGCACAGCUCAUAGGGAAAACGCCAAUGGUUUACCUGAACAAUAUCGUGAAGGGCUCUGUGUCCAAUAUUGCUGCAAAGCUUGAGAUUAUGGAGCCGUGUUGUAGUGUCAAGGACAGAAUAGGUUAUAGCAUGAUAAAUGAUGCUGAGCAGAGAGGAGUUAUAACACCUGGGAAGAGUAUUUUAGUGGAACCUACUAGCGGGAACACAGGAAUUGGUCUUGCCUUUAUAGCAGCUUCAAGAGGAUAUAAACUCAUUUUGACAAUGCCUGCUUCAAUGAGUUUAGAAAGGCGAGUUCUUUUGAAAGCAUUUGGAGCUGAGCUUGUUUUGACUGAUGCAGCAAAGGGCAUGAAUGGAGCAGUUCAAAAAGCUGAAGAAAUUUUAAAAAGUACCCCAAAUGCAUACAUGCUUCAACAAUUUGAUAAUCCUUCAAAUCCUAAGAUACAUUAUGAGACUACUGGCCCAGAGAUAUGGGAAGAUACAAGAGGCAAGGUAGAUAUUUUAGUUGCAGGAAUUGGAACUGGUGGAACUGUUUCUGGAGCUGGACAAUUCCUAAAACAACAAAAUUCGAAAAUACAGGUUAUUGGAGUAGAGCCUCUGGAAAGCAACAUACUUUCAGGUGGAAAGCCAGGACCUCACAAAAUUCAGGGUAUUGGGGCUGGUUUCGUGCCCAGGAAUUUGGAUCAAGAUGUGCUUGAUGAAAUUAUUGCGAUAUCAAGUGACGAAGCUGUUGAAACUGCAAAACAAUUAGCACUUCAGGAAGGCUUGCUGGUUAGUGCUCUAUGUUCAAAUUUUCAACUGUUUUUGUGAUUUGAGUUCUUUACGUUUUCCAGUGUGCAUAUCCUGUACUCUUGCACAGUUACAUGAAACAUGCCAAGGUUGCAUGAAUGAUCCUUAUUACACCCUAUUAUGAAGGGCAUAAGAACUUGUGUCUUAUUUAGCUUGCACAUUGGAGUUAGUUUUCUUCAAAUAUUAUGACAUCUCAAUUCUGACCCCAAAUGAAGAGUUUAUAUAUGUUGCUUUCAUACUUUGCCUCGUACUUGGUUACAUCAAUUGGAAAACAGGUAGGAAUUUCUUCAGGAGCUGCUGCUGCUGCUGCUUUGAAAGUUGGAAAGAGACCUGAAAAUGCAGGAAAGCUUAUUGCGUGGGCUGAUGUGUGAAGGACCUGAAAGGCUGAAUAUAGCUGGAUAUGUCUAUAAUGCUUGCUUAUGAAUGAUAAUGAGGAAUGAGGAAAAUAACAAAUGAAACGAUGAUUGUAGUAUUUAGGUUGAUGAUGGCAUUGGGGAUUAUAUGCUUUUGACCUGCUAUUAUUGGGGGUGAAGUUUGUUUCUCUUUCCUCUCAUUUCUUGUUUUGUUUGCUAAACUAUUGUCAUGUGAUCUUUUUUGUCACCUUUAUCUUUUUGAUAGACUUCAUUUAUUUUCAAAUUUAAAUAUAUAUUACUCUUGCAUUUUAAUGCAUAAAAUAUUUAUUUCUUGUAGGUUGUCUUCCCGAGCUUUGGUGAAAGAUAUUUAUCGACUGUUCUUUUUCAGUCAAUUCGAGAAGAAUGUGAGAAGAUGCAACCUGAGCCAUGAAACAACUUUGCUUGUUGUUACUUGUUUCGUACUCAUUCUCCAUGAGCAUUUGUAAGGCAUGACAAUGUGACAUGUCCAUGUUAUGUCUGUUUCUCAUUUUUGACAUUUAAGAAAUUAGAUAACUCUGUACAGGUCAUUGAUUUGACUUACAGCACAGAUUAAUGGCCCUUGAACAAGAGCUAUUUUCUACUCUCUUUCUGUAACAAUUUUCUGUCUUACAUUGUUAUUAAAAAA